GCUCAGGAUGAACGCUAGCUACAGGCUUAACACAUGCAAGUCGAGGGGCAGCAUGGUCUUAGCUUGCUAAGGCUGAUGGCGACCGGCGCACGGGUGAGUAACACGUAUCCAACCUGCCGUCUACUCUUGGCCAGCCUUCUGAAAGGAAGAUUAAUCCAGGAUGGGAUCAUGAGUUCACAUGUCCGCAUGAUUAAAGGUAUUUUCCGGUAGACGAUGGGGAUGCGUUCCAUUAGAUAGUAGGCGGGGUAACGGCCCACCUAGUCAACGAUGGAUAGGGGUUCCGAGAGGAAGGUCCCCCACAUUGGAACUGAGACACGGUCCAAACUCCUACGGGAGGCAGCAGUGAGGAAUAUUGGUCAAUGGGCGAGGGCCUGAACCAGCCAAGUAGCGU
Molecule: ribosomal RNA, 391 nt
Filed under: uncultured Bacteroides sp.
Lineage: Bacteria; Pseudomonadati; Bacteroidota; Bacteroidia; Bacteroidales; Bacteroidaceae
Description: bacterial SSU rRNA
Rfam family: Bacterial small subunit ribosomal RNA
Source: RNAcentral